This is a long non-coding RNA of Sinocyclocheilus rhinocerous, 549 nucleotides long. RefSeq lists it as uncharacterized. The record is from RefSeq and is a predicted model, not a curated record. NCBI's taxonomy places the organism in Eukaryota, Metazoa, Chordata, Actinopteri, Cypriniformes, Cyprinidae. The transcript has 2 exons.
UCUUUAUUUACAAUGGGUGCACAUCACAGUACUGUCAGCAACAAGACACCCUGCACACCGUAUCAGCAAUAUAGAUCACAAUAACCAGUAUGUGCUAGAUUCUAAAAGGAAUGGAAGAAUAAAUGAAAAAGAAAAAAGAACUGCAGCCAAGUAUGUGCAACUCUCUUUAAGGUUUGCCACAUCUCUUUAUUUCAGUUUAUGUAAAGAGCCUUACAGAAUUGACACUGACAGUGCAUAAACAAAAUGAGUUAAUAGGAAGACAGUGUACAAAACCAAAAACUGCUUAGAACAUACUUACCUAAACAUACUUACCUAGUAAAAAAAAAAAAAAAAAAAAUUUAAAUUCAGGAGGCAAUUUGCAAGCCUUCUGUCAUUGUGUCUUAAGACACUCCUCUAUUCAGCAUGUUCACAUAGCAUGUUUUGAAAAAGAGAGGGUAUUUUCUCUAUAGAUAGCAUACGGAAAUGUCGGCAUUCAUUUGGGAAAAAGAUUGGUGAUCCGAGGUAUGUAUCCGUCACCCAGAUUGAAGUCAUGAUAAAGCUAAAAUAGGU